This 488-nucleotide ribosomal RNA is filed under the name uncultured Latescibacterota bacterium. RNAcentral describes it as "bacterial SSU rRNA". It matches the Rfam family "Bacterial small subunit ribosomal RNA", at positions 521 to 1003 of the family's 1533-position model. The record is from RNAcentral. Lineage: Bacteria; Pseudomonadati; Candidatus Latescibacterota.
UAAUACGGGGGAGCAAGCGUUGUUCGGAAUCACUGGGCGUAAAGGGACGUGUAGGCGGUCAGGUAAGUAAGACGUGAAAUGCCUCGGCUCACCCCGAGGAGCGGCGUCUUAUACUGCUUGGCUUGAGUAUGGGAGAGGAUGUGGGAAUUCCUGGUGUAGCGGUGAAAUGCGUAGAUAUCAGGAGGAACACCGGUGGCGAAGGCGCACAUCUGGCCCCAAUACUGACGCUGAGGCGCGAAAGCUAGGGGAGCAAACGGGAUUAGAUACCCCGGUAGUCCUAGCCGUAAACGGUGAUCACUAGGUGUUGGAGGCAUUGACCCCCUCCAGUGCCGCAGCUAACGCAUUAAGUGAUCCGCCUGGGGAGUACGGCCGCAAGGUUGAAACUCAAAGGAAUUGACGGGGGCCCGCACAAGCGGUGGAGCAUGUGGUUUAAUUCGACGCAACGCGAAGAACCUUACCCAGACUUGACAUGCAUUAGACUGGUGUGG